AAAUUGAAGAGUUUGAUCAUGGCUCAGAUUGAACGCUGGCGGCAGGCCUAACACAUGCAAGUCGAACGGUAACAGGAAGCAGCUUGCUGCUUCGCUGACGAGUGGCGGACGGGUGAGUAAUGUCUGGGAAACUGCCUGAUGGAGGGGGAUAACUACUGGAAACGGUGGCUAAUACCGCAUAACGUCGCAAGACCAAAGAGGGGGACCUUCGGGCCUCUUGCCAUCAGAUGUGCCCAGAUGGGAUUAGCUAGUUGGUGAGGUAACGGCUCACCAAGGCGACGAUCCCUAGCUGGUCUGAGAGGAUGACCAGCCACACUGGAACUGAGACACGGUCCAGACUCCUACGGGAGGCAGCAGUGGGGAAUAUUGCACAAUGGGCGCAAGCCUGAUGCAGCCAUGCCGCGUGUAUGAAGAAGGCCUUCGGGUUGUAAAGUACUUUCAGCGGGGAGGAAGGUGUUGUGGUUAAUAACCGCAGCAAUUGACGUUACCCGCAGAAGAAGCACCGGCUAACUCCGUGCCAGCAGCCGCGGUAAUACGGAGGGUGCAAGCGUUAAUCGGAAUUACUGGGCGUAAAGCGCACGCAGGCGGUCUGUCAAGUCGGAUGUGAAAUCCCCGGGCUCAACCUGGGAACUGCAUUCGAAACUGGCAGGCUUGAGUCUUGUAGAGGGGGGUAGAAUUCCAGGUGUAGCGGUGAAAUGCGUAGAGAUCUGGAGGAAUACCGGUGGCGAAGGCGGCCCCCUGGACAAAGACUGACGCUCAGGUGCGAAAGCGUGGGGAGCAAACAGGAUUAGAUACC
Molecule: ribosomal RNA, 796 nt
Filed under: Salmonella enterica
Lineage: Bacteria; Pseudomonadati; Pseudomonadota; Gammaproteobacteria; Enterobacterales; Enterobacteriaceae
Description: bacterial SSU rRNA
Rfam family: Bacterial small subunit ribosomal RNA
Source: RNAcentral